RNAcentral lists this ribosomal RNA (1415 nucleotides) under metagenome. RNAcentral's name for it is "bacterial SSU rRNA". It matches the Rfam family "Archaeal small subunit ribosomal RNA". The record is from RNAcentral.
UCUAGUUUAUCCUGCUAGAGGCUGCGGCUAUUUGGAUUCUGUUAAGCCAUGCAAGUUUUCCUCCGCAAGGAGGGAGCAAACUGCUCAGCAACACGUAGUUAAUCUAACCUAAGAUCGAGGACAAUCUCGGGAAUCUGAGCAUAAUACUCGAUAUAAAACAAAUACUGGAAUGUAUUGUUUUUGAAACGCAAGGUCUUAGGAUGAGACUGCGGUCGAUUAGGUAGUUGUUGAGGUAACUACUCAACAAGCCAAUGAUCGAUAAGGGCCCUUAACGGGGGUGCCCUGAGAGGGAAUCUGAGACACUAUUCCCAGCUCUAUGGAGUGCAGCAGGCGAGGAAAUUUUCCAAUGUCCGCAAGGAUGAGAAAGGAAUCCGAAGUGCUAUUCUUUUUAGAAUAGCUUUUAUCCACUGUAAAAAGGUGGGAGAAUAAGGACUGGGCAAGACUGGUGCCAGCCGCCGCGGUAAUCCCAGCAGUCCGAGUCGUGGCCACAUUUAUUAGGUCUAAAACAUUCGUAGCUUGUUUCGUAAGUCCUUUGUGAAAUAUUAUCGCUCAACGAUAAUGCGUGCAAAGGAUACUGCGUUGCUGGAGACUGGUAGACGUAAGGAGUACGGUUGAGGUAGCGGUAAAAUGUUUUAAUCUCAAUCGGACUAACAAUGGCGAAGGCACCUUACGAGGACAGAUCUGACAGUGAGGAAUGAAGGCCAGGGGCGCAAAAUGGAUUAGAUACCCAUGUAGUCCUGGCAGUAAACCCUGAUUACUAAACAUUGUGUUCUCCUCGAGAGAAUGCAGUGCUGAAGCGAAGGCGGAAGUAAUCUACCUGGGGAGUAUAGCCGCAAGGCCGAAACUUAAAGGAAUUGGCGGGGGGGCACUACAAGGGGUGACGCGUGCGGUUCAAUUAGAUUCUACACCGUGAACCUCACCAGGAGCGACAGCAGAAUGAAGGUCAGUCUGAAGGGCUUACCUGACACGCUGAGAGGAGGUGCAUGGCCGUCGUCAGCUUGUGCUGUGAAGUGCCCUGUUAAAUCAGGUAACAAGCGAGACCUGCGUGCACAAUUGCUAUUUGAAAAAAAAGCACAUUGUGCAGACUGCUCCCGUAAGGGAGAGGAAGGUGCAGUCUACGACAGGUGAGUACGCCCCGAAUCCCCUGGGCUACACGCGCGCGGCAAUGCUGCGUACAAUGAGAUACAACUCCGAAAGGAGAAGUUAAUCCCCUAAAGUGCAGCUCAGUUCAGAUCGAACUUUGUAAUCCAGGUUCGUGACGCUGGAAUCCCUAGUAAUCGUUCUUUAUCAGAGAACGGUGAAUAAGUCCCUGCUCCUUGCACACACUGCCCAUCAAACCAUCCGAGUUAUUUGUAGGUGAGGUCUGCAAAGAACAAAUCUAUAGAUAAUAAGGAAGGUUAAGUUGUCACAAGGUA